AGUGAACGCUGGCGGUAGGCCUAACACAUGCAAGUCGAACGGCAGCACAGUAAGAGCUUGCUCUUACGGGUGGCGAGUGGCGGAAGGGUGCGGAAUACAUCGGAAUAUACUUUUUCGUGGGGGAUAACGUCGGGAAAUUUACGCUAAUACAGCAUACGACCUACGGGUGAAAGCAGGGGAUCUUCGGACCUUGCGGGAUGGAAUGAGCCGAUGUCGGAUUAGCUCGUUGGCGGGGUAAAGGCGCACCAAGGCGACGAUCCAUAGCUGGUCCGAGAGGAUGAUCAGACACACGGGAAGUGAGAAACGGUCCCGACUCCUACGGUGGGCAGCAGCGGGGAAUAUUGGGCGAGGGAGGAGAGCCUAAUCCAGCCAUACCGCGUGGGUCAAGAAGGCCUUAGGGCUGUAAAGCCCUGUAGUUGUGAGAGAAAAACAGCAGUUUAAUACCCCGCGAUUCUGACGGUACCCAAAGAAUAAGCACCGGCUAACUUCGUG
Molecule: ribosomal RNA, 492 nt
Filed under: uncultured bacterium
Lineage: Bacteria
Description: partial 16S ribosomal RNA
Rfam family: Bacterial small subunit ribosomal RNA
Source: RNAcentral